RNAcentral lists this ribosomal RNA (453 nucleotides) under uncultured organism. RNAcentral's name for it is "partial 16S ribosomal RNA". It matches the Rfam family "Bacterial small subunit ribosomal RNA", at positions 334 to 796 of the family's 1533-position model. The record is from RNAcentral.
CACUCCUGCGGGAGGCAGCAGUGGGGAAUAUUGCACAAUGGGCGCAAGCCUGAUGCAGCGACGCCGCGUGGGGGAUGAAGGCCUUCGGGUUGUAAACUCCUUUCGCUAGGGACGAAGCUUUUUUGUGACGGUACCUAGAUAAGAAGCACCGGCUAACUACGUGCCAGCAGCCGCGGUAAUACGUAGGGUGCGAGCGUUGUCCGUAAUUACUGGGCGUAAAGGGCUCGUAGGUGGUUUGUCGCGUCGUCUGUGAAAUUCUGGGGCUUAACUCCGGGCGUGCAGGCGAUACGGGCAUAACUUGAGUGCUGUAGGGGUAACUGGAAUUCCUGGUGUAGCGGUGAAAUGCGCAGAUAUCAGGAGGAACACCGAUGGCGAAGGCAGGUUACUGGGCAGUUACUGACGCUGAGGAGCGAAAGCAUGGGUAGCGAACAGGAUUAGAAACCCUGGUAGUCC